Molecule: ribosomal RNA, 450 nt
Filed under: uncultured bacterium
Lineage: Bacteria
Description: bacterial SSU rRNA
Rfam family: Bacterial small subunit ribosomal RNA
Source: RNAcentral
UUCCAGACUCCUACGGGAGGCAGCAGUCGGGAAUAUUGCACAAUGGAGGAAACUCUGAUGCAGUGACGCCGCGUGCAGGAAGAAGGUUUUCGGAUUGUAAACUGCUUUAGACAGGGAAGAAACAAGACAGUACCUGUAGAAUAAGCUCCGGCUAACUACGUGCCAGCAGCCGCGGUAAUACGUAGGGAGCAAGCGUUAUCCGGAUUUAUUGGGUGUAAAGGGUGCGUAGACGGGAAUUUAAGUUAGUUGUGAAAUCCCUCGGCUUAACUGAGGAACUGCAACUAAAACUGAAUUUCUUGAGUGCGGGAGAGGAAAGUGGAAUUCCUAGUGUAGCGGUGAAAUGCGUAGAUAUUAGGAGGAACACCAGUGGCGAAGGCGGCUUACUGGACUGUAACUGACGUUGAGGCUCGAAAGCGUGGGGAGCAAACAGGAUUAGAUACCCCCGUAGUG